GGAUCCCUAGCUCUAAUAGAGCUCGGUUGGAUUUGAAAUAGUUUUGAAUCCGAUUUAGUUAUCUAUGUUGUUGCUAGACCUCGGAGUUUGAGUUGGAAUAUCCAGUGUUGGUUUGAGUAUUCAAUAUUGGUCUGGUGCUACUUUUGCUAAUCAAAUCAUAAAAAUUGAGGAGCUUGCUGGUAUUGUUGCUGCUUUUAUUAGUGGAGACC
This 209-nucleotide long non-coding RNA is filed under the name Elaeis guineensis (African oil palm). RNAcentral describes it as "long non-coding RNA (EGUI_LNC032075)". The record is from RNAcentral. Lineage: Eukaryota; Viridiplantae; Streptophyta; Magnoliopsida; Arecales; Arecaceae.